GGCAAUGUGGCUUGGUGGUAGAGUGCUUGCCUUGCAUGCAUGAAGCCCUGGGUUCAAUUCCUCAGUACCA
Molecule: transfer RNA, 70 nt
Filed under: Dipodomys ordii (Ord's kangaroo rat)
Lineage: Eukaryota; Metazoa; Chordata; Mammalia; Rodentia; Heteromyidae
Rfam family: tRNA
About the family: Transfer RNA (tRNA) molecules are approximately 80 nucleotides in length. Their secondary structure includes four short double-helical elements and three loops (D, anti-codon, and T loops).
Source: Rfam by way of RNAcentral